GGUCCGCUGGCUCAAUGGCAGAGCGUCUGACUACGAUUAAUCGUCUCAAGACGAUUAGGUAAAUCAGGAGGUUCCAGGUUCGACCCCUGGGUGGAUCG
Transfer RNA from Chaetomium globosum CBS 148.51, 98 nucleotides. It matches the Rfam family "tRNA". Rfam says of the family: Transfer RNA (tRNA) molecules are approximately 80 nucleotides in length. Their secondary structure includes four short double-helical elements and three loops (D, anti-codon, and T loops). The record is from Rfam. Lineage: Eukaryota; Fungi; Ascomycota; Sordariomycetes; Sordariales; Chaetomiaceae.